RNAcentral lists this long non-coding RNA (1540 nucleotides) under Anser brachyrhynchus (Pink-footed goose). RNAcentral's name for it is "lncRNA (ENSABRG00000016403.1)". The record is from RNAcentral. Lineage: Eukaryota; Metazoa; Chordata; Aves; Anseriformes; Anatidae.
UUUAGAGCCAGAUUAAGAGCAGCCAUGACAUAACCAACAAAGAGAGAUGGCGAUGAAACAGCCACCUAGCACGAGUCAUGUGGCUCCUCACAGCUGGGUGCAAGGCUGGUCUGGGAUGUCUGGUAAAGCGGAGGGCACUUUGGAGCAGGGCUGUGCCCUCACUGCCGGAGCAGAGCGGUGCGACAGUGCCGGAGCAGCAGGGGUGGGAGCUGCCUCUUUCGAACAUCAGCAUCACACCUGAUGCGAGACUUAGCGGACAGAAGUCCCCAGGGGGAGUUAACAUGGCCCACGGCAGAGACCCUGACUGUGCUGCACCCAGUGUGUGGGCCUGUGAAGACACUUCGUCUCACGUUCUUCUCCCUGACAAUUCGCUAUCCCAGCCACUUGCCAAGGCAGUGCUCCUCGCUGGAUAGCAUUAACAGAGGUGUGUUUCCUUGCAGUUUCUACGCACGUCUGGUUUUCUAUUUCUCUCCCUUUUCCGUUUCCUGUUGGCGCUACAUCCUAAACUCCUAACCUCUUACACACAUGCACAUUUUUUCCCCCCUUGCUGGGAGGUGCCGCACAAUGAAAUCCAUGUAGUGAGAGUUCGGUUUGCUGUAUGUUGGAGCCGCACAUAUGCUAGCCAGUUUUCUCACCCACACCCCUCUCCGUGGGAUUUCUCAGCACACUUGCUUCCCAGCUCCUGCACUCAACAUGUGGUACAAAGUGUAGUGGAAUAUCCGGGUCUGAGGCCCUGCAGUGUACACAAGGACUCUUCCUGACUUGUAUUAACAUUACUGCCAGUGAAAUCUGUGGCAUUUUGAUUGCUUUGGAGCUCCAGUCCUGCAACGCCUUUCUCUCUGCUUGCCCAUAUGAGUCUCCUUUCGGCUUUUUGUCUUCACAUGAAAGAGAGGGCAAAAAAAUUCUUUUGAUGUUUUUGAGAAUAUUGCAAGAUAUUCUCAAGAAAACACCAUUUCAUUUGCUCAGGCUCUUGUUCAUACAGGCUUUCAUGACUUCCAGGAUUGACUAUUUUAAUUUGUUCCUGGUGGUGUUCCAGAUUGUUUGCUAAACUGGCUGCAGAUGGUUUUGAAUGUUGCUGCUGCCAGAAUUGUUACUAGGACUUGAUCUACAGAUCAUAUUUCUCCAGUCUCACGUUCCCUCUACCCCAGUGCCUGUUAAGCAGCAUAUGGCUUUAAAAUUCCUUUACUGACUUAUAAAGCUCGCAGUGGCCCUGAUUCUGUUUACCUUCCUGACCUUUUAACUCUUUAGACUUUGACUUAGGCUCACAGCUUUUCUGAUGUAAAGUCCACUGCUAGUUCAGAGCCAGCGUUCAGAACCAGGGUUGAGUAUGGCUUGGGGUUUUGCUGCUUGUCAUGCCUUUCCACAGCUUCAGUGAAGUGAAAGGAGUGGGAUUUUCUUUCUGCUUUGUUUGCCUAAUAUUCAAUUGAUUAUUCCAAGCUAAGCUUUUCUACAUAGAUGUACACACAGACACAGGCACACACAAGGUCAACAUAUAGGCAGUACACUGCUACCUUAAAAAUAAAAAGUGCAAACAAAGACA